UAGUUUAGGAGAAAUCUCUCGUACUUAGAUUUACAAUCUAAUGCCUAGGCUCGGCCACUAAACU
RNAcentral lists this transfer RNA (64 nucleotides) under Daphnia magna. Its description in RNAcentral is "tRNA-Tyr". The record is from RNAcentral. Lineage: Eukaryota; Metazoa; Arthropoda; Branchiopoda; Diplostraca; Daphniidae.